Long non-coding RNA from Leptinotarsa decemlineata (Colorado potato beetle), 423 nucleotides. The record is from RefSeq and is a predicted model, not a curated record. NCBI's taxonomy places the organism in Eukaryota, Metazoa, Arthropoda, Insecta, Coleoptera, Chrysomelidae.
ACGAACUAUACAACCAAGCCCUGGUACAUUUUUGUGUAUUUGCCACUUUGUUGAUGGAAACAAAAAUAAUGGAUCCACAUUGUUUUCACACAAUACUGGAAAACAAUUUAAGUUUUCUUCUCCAGAAAAGAGAACAAGAAAAAGGAAAGUGUUGGAUAUGGAAGAAACUUCUGAAAAUCCUACAUAUGAAACGGAACUGACUGAUCCACAACCGUCCACCUCAAAAGAAACCAUACCCCCAGGACCUAUGUCUGCAGAAAUUGUUGCUGAAAAUUAUUUUCUCAAGCAAGAUCUGCAGCAAGCAUUACAUAAACUGACCCAUUUAUCAGAACAUUUUUCUUUUGAAAACAUAAGGGGCAACAACAAAUUGAUACUAUUGUAUACAGGCAUACCUACAGAAAAUAUAUUUAUGUCCCUAUUCAA